This 611-nucleotide ribosomal RNA is filed under the name uncultured bacterium. RNAcentral's name for it is "bacterial SSU rRNA". The stretch from base 1 to 518 matches the Rfam family "Bacterial small subunit ribosomal RNA", at positions 338 to 873 of the family's 1533-position model. The record is from RNAcentral.
CCUACGGGAGGCAGCAGUGGGGAAUAUUGGACAAUGGGCGAAAGCCUGAUCCAGCAAUGCCGCGUGAGUGAUGAAGGCCUUAGGGUUGUAAAGCUCUUUUACCAGGGAUGAUAAUGACAGUACCUGGAGAAUAAGCUCCGGCUAACUCCGUGCCAGCAGCCGCGGUAAUACGGAGGGAGCUAGCGUUGUUCGGAAUUACUGGGCGUAAAGCGUACGUAGGCGGUUAUUCAAGUCAGAGGUGAAAGCCCGGGGCUCAACCCCGGAACUGCCUUUGAAACUAGGUAGCUAGAGUCUUGGAGAGGUUAGUGGAAUUCCGAGUGUAGAGGUGAAAUUCGUAGAUAUUCGGAAGAACACCAGUGGCGAAGGCGACUAACUGGACAAGUACUGACGCUGAGGUACGAAAGCGUGGGGAGCAAACAGGAUUAGAUACCCUGGUAGUCCACGCCGUAAACGAUGAUAACUAGCUGUUCGGGCACUUGGUGCCUGAGUGGCGCAGCUACGACAUUAAGUUAUCCGUCCGUCGGGUAGGUACGGUCGCGAAGAAUUAAAACUUAAAGGUAAAGUUAGUACGGACGUGAGACGNGCCGACGGACGACGACGAGGGAGGUAGG